RNAcentral lists this ribosomal RNA (658 nucleotides) under uncultured bacterium. RNAcentral's name for it is "bacterial SSU rRNA". It matches the Rfam family "Bacterial small subunit ribosomal RNA", at positions 187 to 848 of the family's 1533-position model. The record is from RNAcentral.
GCAUGUUCACAUGAUUAAAGGUAUUCCGGUAGACGAUGGGGAUGCGUUCCAUUAGAUAGUAGGCGGGGUAACGGCCCACCUAGUCUUCGAUGGAUAGGGGUUCUGAGAGGAAGGUCCCCCACAUUGGAACUGAGACACGGUCCAAACUCCUACGGGAGGCAGCAGUGAGGAAUAUUGGUCAAUGGGCGAGAGCCUGAACCAGCCAAGUAGCGUGAAGGAUGACUGCCCUAUGGGUUGUAAACUUCUCUUAUAAAGGAAUAAAGUCGGGUAUGCAUACCUGUUUGCAUGUACUUUAUGAAUAAGGAUCGGCUAACUCCGUGCCAGCAGCCGCGGUAAUACGGAGGAUCCGAGCGUUAUCCGGAUUUAUUGGGUUUAAAGGGAGCGUAGAUGGAUGUUUAAGUCAGUUGUGAAAGUUUGCGGCUCAACCGUAAAAUUGCAGUUGAUACUGGAUAUCUUGAGUGCAGUUGAGGCAGGCGGAAUUCGUGGUGUAGCGGUGAAAUGCUUAGAUAUCACGAAGAACUCCGAUUGCGAAGGCAGCCUGCUAAGCUGCAACUGACAUUGAGGCUCGAAAGUGUGGGUAUCAAACAGGAUUAGAUACCCUGGUAGUCCACACGGUAAACGAUGAAUACUCGCUGUUUGCGAUAUACAGCAAGCGGCC